RNAcentral lists this ribosomal RNA (201 nucleotides) under uncultured bacterium. RNAcentral describes it as "partial 16S ribosomal RNA". It matches the Rfam family "Bacterial small subunit ribosomal RNA", at positions 1300 to 1500 of the family's 1533-position model. The record is from RNAcentral.
GUAGUCUGCAACUCGACUACAUGAAGCUGGAAUCGCUAGUAAUCGCGAAUCAGCAUGUCGCGGUGAAUACGUUCCCGGGUCUUGUACACACCGCCCGUCACACCAUGGGAGUCGGUAACGCCCGAAGUCAGUGACCCAACCGAGAGGAGGGAGCUGCCGAAGGCGGGACUGGUGACUGGGGUGAAGUCGUAACAAGGUAUC